Molecule: ribosomal RNA, 253 nt
Filed under: uncultured bacterium
Lineage: Bacteria
Description: partial 16S ribosomal RNA
Rfam family: Bacterial small subunit ribosomal RNA
Source: RNAcentral
GACAGAGGGGGCAAGCGUUGCUCGGAAUCACUGGGCGUAAAGGGCGCGUAGGCGGGAUGCCAAGUCGGUCGUGAAAUCUCCGGGCUCAACCCGGAGGAGUCGGCCGAAACUGGUGUUCUUGAGGGAGGCAGAGGAGUCUGGAAUUCCCGGUGUAGCGGUGAAAUGUGUAGAGAUCGGGAGGAACACCGGUGGCGAAGGCGGGACUCUGGGCCUACCCUGACGCUGAGGCGCGAAGGCGUGGGGAGCAAACGGG